ACGCUGGCGGCGUGCCUAAUACAUGCAAGUCGAACGCACUGACGGAGAACUUGUUCUCUUGACGUGAGUGGCGCACGGGUGAGUAACACGUGGGAAACCUACCCUUCAGCGGGGGAUAACCAUCGGAAACGAUGACUAAUACCGCAUAGACGACAGAACCGCCUGGUUCAAUCGGGAAAGACGGCUUCGGCUGUCACUGAAGGAUGGUCCCGCGCUGCAUUAGCUAGUUGGUAAGGUAACGGCUUACCAAGGCGAUGAUGCAUAGCCGACCUGAGAGGGUGAUCGGCCACAUUGGGACUGAGACACGGCCCAAACUCCUACGGGAGGCAGCAGUAGGGAAUCUUCCGCAAUGGACGCAAGUCUGACGGAGCAACGCCGCGUGUGUGAAGAAGGUUUUCGGAUCGUAAAGCACUGUUAUUAGAGAAGAACAGCCGAUAGAGUAACUGUUAUCGGUUUGACGGUAUCUAACCAGAAAGUGACGGCUAACUACGUGCCAGCAGCCGCGGUAAUACGUAGGUCACAAGCGUUGUCCGGAUUUAUUGGGCGUAAAGGGAGCGCAGGCGGUUUGUUAAGUCUGAUGUGAAAGCCCACGGCUCAACCGUGGAACGGCAUUGGAAACUGGCAAACUUGAGUAUAGAAGAGGAAAGUGGAAUUCCAUGUGUAGCGGUGAAAUGCGUAGAUAUAUGGAGGAACACCAGUGGCGAAGGCGACUUUCUGGUCUAUAACUGACGCUGAGGCUCGAAAGCGUGGGGAGCGAACAGGAUUAGAUACCCUGGUAGUCC
RNAcentral lists this ribosomal RNA (782 nucleotides) under uncultured bacterium. Its description in RNAcentral is "bacterial SSU rRNA". It matches the Rfam family "Bacterial small subunit ribosomal RNA", at positions 33 to 796 of the family's 1533-position model. The record is from RNAcentral.